RNAcentral lists this ribosomal RNA (698 nucleotides) under uncultured bacterium. RNAcentral describes it as "bacterial SSU rRNA". It matches the Rfam family "Bacterial small subunit ribosomal RNA", at positions 1 to 704 of the family's 1533-position model. The record is from RNAcentral.
UAGAGUUUGAUCCUGGCUCAGGAUGAACGCUGGCGGCGUGCCUAACACAUGCAAGUCGAACGAAGCGCCCGCGCGGAUUCCCUCGGGAUGAAGCGCGGAUGACUGAGUGGCGGACGGGUGAGUCACGCGUGGGCAACCUGCCCCGUGCCGGGGGACAACAGCCGGAAACGGCUGCUAAUACCGCAUGAUCCGGGAGGGCCGCAUGGCCCUGCCGGGAAAGCUCCGGCGGCACGGGAUGGGCCCGCGUCUGAUUAGGUUGUUGGCGGGGUAACGGCCCACCAAGACUGCGAUCAGCAGCCGGCCUGAGAGGGCGGCCGGCCACAUUGGGACUGAGACACGGCCCAGACUCCUGCGGGAGGCAGCAGUGGGGAAUAUUGCACAAUGGGGGAAACCCUGAUGCAGCGACGCCGCGUGGGCGACGAAGCGCUCCGGCGCGUAAAGCCCUGUCAGCAGGGAAGAAAAAAGACAGUACCUGACCAAGAAGCCCCGGCUAACUACGUGCCAGCAGCCGCGGUAAUACGUAGGGGGCAAGCGUUAUCCGGAUUCACCGGGCGUAAAGGGAGCGCAGGCGGCACGGCAAGUCUGGUGUGAAAGCCCGGGGCCCAACCCCGGGACUGCAUUGGAAACUGCCGGGCUGGAGUGCCCGAGAGGUAAGCGGAUUUCCUGGUGUAGCGGUGAAAUGCGCAGAUAUCAAGAAG